AUCACUUCCCGGCCUUUUGGCUAAGAUCAAGUGUAGUAUCUGUUCUUAUCAGUUUAAUAUCUGAUACGUCCACUAUCUGAGACAAUAUAUUAAAUGGAUUUUUGGAGCUGGGAGAUGGAAUAGGAGCUUGCUCCGUCCACCCCGCGCAUGGACCCGGUAUUGCAGUACUUCCGGGAACGGUGCACCCCCU
RNAcentral lists this small nuclear RNA (190 nucleotides) under Rhinolophus ferrumequinum (greater horseshoe bat). RNAcentral describes it as "U2 spliceosomal RNA (ENSRFEG00010009752.1)". It matches the Rfam family "U2 spliceosomal RNA". Rfam says of the family: U2 is a small nuclear RNA (snRNA) component of the spliceosome (involved in pre-mRNA splicing). The record is from Rfam by way of RNAcentral. Lineage: Eukaryota; Metazoa; Chordata; Mammalia; Chiroptera; Rhinolophidae.